RNAcentral lists this ribosomal RNA (519 nucleotides) under uncultured bacterium. Its description in RNAcentral is "partial 16S ribosomal RNA". It matches the Rfam family "Bacterial small subunit ribosomal RNA", at positions 355 to 889 of the family's 1533-position model. The record is from RNAcentral.
UGGGGAAUAUUGCACAAUGGGCGAAAGCCUGAUGCAGCAACGCCGCGUGAGUGAUGAAGGCCUUCGGGUUGUAAAGCUCUGUCUUUUGGGACGAUAAUGACGGUACCAAAGGAGGAAGCCACGGCUAACUACGUGCCAGCAGCCGCGGUAAUACGUAGGUGGCAAGCGUUGUCCGGAUUUACUGGGCGUAAAGGAUGCGUAGGCGGAUUUUUAAGUGAGAUGUGAAAUACCCGGGCUUAACUUGGGUGCUGCAUUUCAAACUGGGAAUCUAGAGUGCGGGAGAGGAGAAUGGAAUUCCUAGUGUAGCGGUGAAAUGCGUAGAGAUUAGGAAGAACACCAGUGGCGAAGGCGAUUCUCUGGACCGUAACUGACGCUGAGGCAUGAAAGCGUGGGUAGCAAACAGGAUUAGAUACCCUGGUAGUCCACGCCGUAAACGAUGAGUACUAGGUGUAGGAGGUAUCGACCCCUUCUGUGCCGCAGUUAACACAAUCAAGUACUCCGCCUGGGAAGUACGAUCGC